CAAAAAUAUGUGAGAAAUGAGGUAUCUACCUAAUGGUAGGAAGAAAUUAAUUAUGUAAUGGUAGGAAAAAUAAUUUCACUUUAAUUAUGUAUUAGAAAAUCAGUAAUCUUAAAUUAGGAUGCAUCAAUGGAGAAGAAGGCAAUUGGGUAUACCGGCAAUUGUAAUCACAAAACAAUAAUAGAUCUACAAAUACCAAGCAAUACAUUAAAUCAAAAAUCUCAGUAACACUGUUAUUAUGUACUCCCUGUGGUCUUAUUAAGUAUAAAGUUUUGUUUUACAUGAAAAUAAUUAUCCCAUUUAAUUAUGCAUUAAAUUUUAAGGUCAGCUUAUUGAUAGCUCGAUUACCAGUCAAAUAGUUUUGAUGUUUUCUAUACUAUGAAGAAAAUUUGAUCUGAUUAGAUUAAUUCAGAUGUAAAUUUAUGUUAUACGGUGAAUGUAUCGAGUCAUAUAUUAUGCAGAAUAUAUUGAGAAAAAUGGUAAACUAA
Molecule: long non-coding RNA, 485 nt
Organism: Sitophilus oryzae (rice weevil)
Lineage: Eukaryota; Metazoa; Arthropoda; Insecta; Coleoptera; Curculionidae
Exons: 3
Source: RefSeq, a predicted model, not a curated record